This 72-nucleotide transfer RNA is filed under the name Loxodonta africana (African savanna elephant). It matches the Rfam family "tRNA". From Rfam's summary of the family: Transfer RNA (tRNA) molecules are approximately 80 nucleotides in length. Their secondary structure includes four short double-helical elements and three loops (D, anti-codon, and T loops). The record is from Rfam by way of RNAcentral. Lineage: Eukaryota; Metazoa; Chordata; Mammalia; Proboscidea; Elephantidae.
GCCCUGGUGGUAUAAUGGUUAAGCAUUCAGCUGCUAACUGAAAGGUUGGCGGUUCAAACCCACCCAGCAGCU